Molecule: long non-coding RNA, 477 nt
Filed under: Homo sapiens (human)
Lineage: Eukaryota; Metazoa; Chordata; Mammalia; Primates; Hominidae
Description: HSALNT0281454
Source: RNAcentral
CCCAGCUUCGUAAGCCAGGGAGUGGCUUGGCUACCCUUGUUGCUAGCACCCUUCAUCUUGAAAUUCUAUUUUAAGUGGCUUCUGGAAGGGAGGAAGUAACCUCUCACCAUAAAUAAGUUACAGAAGAUCCUAUUCUCUUCUGCCCUUUCUCCCCAGAUCUAGCUUCCAUGUUGUAAAAAAGCCAAGAGAGGUCCACAUGGAAAACAACCAAGGCCUCCAGCCCUCAGUCCCAGCUAAGCAACCAGUAUUAAACAGUACCAAAUUGCCAGCCCCUAGUCAAGCUGCCUCAGCUGAUGCCACAUGGAGCAAGAAAUACAUAAUGGAUACAUGGUCCUCUUGCAAUCAUCAGGGGAGACACCAAUAAGAAGCCAAGGAAGACAGAUAAAAAGAUGGAAAGUGCCUGGAUCCUCGACACUGUUGUGCUAAUGACUACUCUCAAACUGAAGAGCUUGAGGCAAGCAUCCGGGUGCAGGUGGU